UGAUCCGCCACACUGGGACUGAGACACGGCCCAGACUCCUACGGGAGGCAGCAGUGGGGAAUAUUGGACAAUGGGCGAAAGCCUGAUCCAGCCAUGCCGCGUGUGUGAAGAAGGCCUUUUGGUUGUAAAGCACUUUAAGCGAGGAGGAGGCUACUUGGAUUAAUACUCUAGGAUAGUGGACGUUACUCGCAGAAUAAGCACCGGCUAACUCUGUGCCAGCAGCCGCGGUAAUACAGAGGGUGCGAGCGUUAAUCGGAUUUACUGGGCGUAAAGCGUGCGUAGGCGGCUUUUUAAGUCGGAUGUGAAAUCCCUGAGCUUAACUUAGGAAUUGCAUUCGAUACUGGGAAGCUAGAGUAUGGGAGAGGAUGGUAGAAUUCCAGGUGUAGCGGUGAAAUGCGUAGAGAUCUGGAGGAAUACCGAUGGCGAAGGCAGCCAUCUGGCCUAAUACUGACGCUGAGGUACGAAAGCAUGGGGAGCAAACAGGAUUAGAUACCCUGGUAGUCCAUGCCGUAAACGAUGUCUACUA
Molecule: ribosomal RNA, 526 nt
Filed under: Acinetobacter johnsonii
Lineage: Bacteria; Pseudomonadati; Pseudomonadota; Gammaproteobacteria; Moraxellales; Moraxellaceae
Description: bacterial SSU rRNA
Rfam family: Bacterial small subunit ribosomal RNA
Source: RNAcentral